Physeter macrocephalus (sperm whale) is the source of this 1266-nucleotide long non-coding RNA. RefSeq lists it as uncharacterized. Lineage: Eukaryota; Metazoa; Chordata; Mammalia; Artiodactyla; Physeteridae. The transcript has 7 exons. The record is from RefSeq and is a predicted model, not a curated record.
ACGUGCAGAGGGCUGGAGCUGACUUACGCCUGCGCAGAAUGGCAAUUACGGCACGUUUUUCCAAUCAGCGCUGACCACGCCUCAGAUCCAGCCCAUGAAUACCCCGUUUCUUUAUCACAUAAAUACCGCAAGCCCUUACCCUCGGGGUGGCAUCUUUAAGAUUUGUUUCGUCUCCUUACUUGGCUGCCUUUUGAAUAAACCCGCUCCCUGCUGCAAACCUCACUGUCUCAGCAUUUUGGCGUGCUGUGCAUCGGGCAAAACAAACCUGGUUCGGACAUCCAUCUUCUCCUGCCGUCAGUCAUCAGAGCUCCAGAUUCUCAGCCUUCAGACUCAGAUUGAAUUAUACCACUGGCUUGCCAGGUUCUUCAGCCUGCGGGUAGCAGAUUGUGGGACUUCUCAGCCUCCAUAGCUGGUCAAAUCAAGUUUAUUGAAAGACAAAGACUAAGGGACAUCACAGAUUGGAGACUAAGGAGACAUUGAUUAAAUACAACAUGAGAAUCUGGAUUGAAUUGCAGACCAAGAAAAGGGAAUUAGUGGAACAAUUGAAAAAUUCAAAGUCUUUGUGCCAGAUCAUCUCGGUUCCUGUUGGUAGAGGAGCACAGUGGAAGCAGAGAGAACAAUUCCAAUACUGCUGCAAUCGUCUAGAGAAGAAAACUGGAGCACACAGACAUCAAACCUUAGCGUGUCUGAGGGCCCAUAACACGUCAGGCAUGAGCUGGAUUGGAAGCCAGCUUCGUCUUACACUGAAGAAGCCAUGCUAGACUCAAUGCAAAAACCUGGAGAGCGCUCGAGGGAGAGGUGAGAAGGACAUCCGGAACAGACCUGACAAGAAGUUUCUUGAAGAUUAGCUGGCCUCUGGAAGAUGUGGAAAAGACAACAGGCCCUGCCAGCAAAGAGGAGCAUCCAGCAGACAUUCUGAGCACAACUCAUGCCCCAGAAGAGUAGGCUCCAGGGGAAAGCAGUGAAGCCAAUGGAUCCAGACCUAGAAGGGUUGAUUGCAAAGAAGAACUGGCAGAGCUUGAGGUUUUUCAUGUUGUUCAAGCUGAGGAGGGAAAACUCCAAUAGAGGGGGACAAUGAGCCAUGCUAGAAAAGGCUUGGAAGUAUGGCUGCAAUCUAGGACUCGGUUUGUCCAGGAGUACUCACUAUGUUCCAGCUAAGGGAAAGAGAAUGAUUACAUACUUGCACUGUCACACUUGCUGUGUCAACUCCGCAAAUUUUGGUUUUAAGUUCCUUUUUCUUUUUUUUUUUGGUACGCGGGCCUCUCA